Long non-coding RNA from Sapajus apella (tufted capuchin), 101 nucleotides. RefSeq lists it as uncharacterized. The record is from RefSeq and is a predicted model, not a curated record. The transcript has 3 exons. NCBI's taxonomy places the organism in Eukaryota, Metazoa, Chordata, Mammalia, Primates, Cebidae.
CUCCCUGUGUAAACUUAAAAGCUAGUUUAAGGGAAAACUGAAAUAAUCCUUUGCUAGAUUAUUCUUAAGGUAAAGCUUAAUAAAUUGUCUUGUUUCCACAG